GGUGGCUGUGGUCCAUCCCUGGGGUCACCGGGCCCUGUGCCUCCGCUCCUCCCAGGUCCACCCAGGGCGGGUGCCUGCUCCCCACCCAGCCUCGGCGUCUCCACCUGCCAAAUGGGUUCCAGCUCUUGUCCUCUGUGGUCUGGGGUGGGCACCCAGGAAGUGAGACUUGCGAGGCACCCCUAGGCUUGGUCUCAAAGGGAGAAAACAUCCCCUGAGCCUGCUCCAGAGCCCCCAAGUAGAAAUCUCUGGGUGACUGCCUUUGCCCUGGGGGAGGGGGGGUGAUCCCUAGGGGUGGGUUCCCACUGGUCCCAAAGUGUGCACCAGGUCACUCCUGGAACCACAGGCCCUGGCUGCUCUCCCCAGCAUCCAUUUCACAGUGACCCACGCUGGUAAAACUCAAACAGGGCAGAAGCAUUAAAAUAACCACCCUCGUCCCACAGCCUUGCCUCGCGAAGGAAUCCCGGCCUCCGGUUCGGGAGCAUCCUCCCAGGCCUCCUCCAGAACAUUCGCUCACACACGGAUACUCAGGCUCGCAGACGUAUACGGACGCACACGCAUAUGUACGCAGACACACGUGCACCCAGACUCACAGGAACACGCGGACACGUGGGAACGCUGAUUACGUAAAGAGGCUGUCGGGUUCAGGAGCCAGUCUCACACAGGUGAAUCCCGACAGGACCCACAGACAGAUGAGGACGGAGACAGGAGGAGACUGAGUCUGCAGUGUGCCAACCCUGGGCUGCCCCUGUGCUUGGCUGCCACACUGUCUCACCUGGGUCUGGGCUGAGGACCUGGCCCUGGAGACCAAGGACAUUCCAGAGCCUUGGUUUGGAAUCCUCAGUUCCGUGGACGUGGAUGUCCUCGUGGAGUGUGCACGAGCCAGACAGGCCUGGGCUGGAGCUCCUGCCUCUGCUCUCUGCGAGUCUGUUUCCCCACGGUCAGAUGGGAGAGUGAGGGCUCCCAGCUUGCAGAAGGGCAGGAACUGGUGCUGUUGACCCGGGGUGGCACUGGCAUGAUCUGGAGAAGAACCUGGCUUCUGGUUUGGGGUUGGCCCCCACCCGUGAGGCUGGUACCUGUUUUGUCUGUGGACAGGUUAUGCUGUGAGAUUGUCUUUGCCGAUAAUUUAUUUAACACAAGUUCACUGGGAUUAUAACAAUUUCACAAGCCAGUAGCAUACAGGAUAAUGUCUCUUAAUAAGGCAAUAAAGAAAUAAAAAGGGGCUGGCCCUGCGGCCUAGUGGUUAAGUUUGGCACGCUCCACUUCGGCAGUCUGGGUUUGGUUCCUGGGCACAGACCUACACCACUUGUCAGCAGCCACACUGUGGCAGCAGCUCGCUCACAAAAUAGAGGAAGAUUGGCACAGAUGUUACCUUAGGGCAAAUCUUCCUCAGCAAAAAAAGAAAAAGAAAGAAAUUGUAUACUCCAAACCAAUGAUCGACUAAUUACACUCUUGUUCCAGGCAAAGGGGAGAGGAAAGAAAUAAAGUCCAAAUUUACUUGAGGUGUCCCUUUCUCUGAGCUGAUUCUUGGACAAGUCGACUUAGAGCUGACAUCCAGCUGCCAUUGCAAAGUGAGGAUGUCAUCAGCGCAGUGCCAUCCCCGUGCUCCUGGAGGACGGCGGCUGCAGUGAAGAUCCCAUCUGCAGAGAUGGCGUGUGAGGGCGUAGCUGUCGCAGUGCCCCACGGGCAGCCUGGCAGAGCUGUGUGUGUCCCUUCGGAGAAAUCUUGUUAGACGGAUGCUGGGACUCUGCACCUCCUUCCAAGUCGAGUUUCUUUCAUGUGCUUCCAUCCCAGUCGAGGGCUGGUGUUUUUUUUUGAGGAAGAUUAGUCCUGAGCUAACUGCUGCCAAUCCUCCUCUUUUUGCUGAGGAAGACUGGCCCUGAGCUAACCUCCGUGCCCAUCUUCCUCUACUUUAUACGUGGCAUGCCUACCACAGCAUGGCUUGCCAAGCAGUGCCAUAUCCACACCCAGGAUCUGAACCGCCGAACCCUGGGCCACCGAAGCGGA
Long non-coding RNA from Equus caballus (horse), 2004 nucleotides. The record is from Ensembl. Lineage: Eukaryota; Metazoa; Chordata; Mammalia; Perissodactyla; Equidae.